Molecule: non-coding RNA, 206 nt
Organism: Lonchura striata (white-rumped munia)
Lineage: Eukaryota; Metazoa; Chordata; Aves; Passeriformes; Estrildidae
Source: RefSeq, a predicted model, not a curated record
GGGACGUUCGGGACGAGGUCCUGGAGCACGAGCUGACCGUGGCCGACCGGCGGCAGAAGCGCGAGAUCCGGCAGCUGGAGCAGGAGCUGCAGCGCUGGCAGGUGCUGGUGGACUCCAUCACAGGGAUGAGCUCCCCGGAUUUCGACAGUCAGACUCUGGCCGUGCUGCGGGGCCGCAUGGUUCGCUACCUGAUGCGCUCGCGGGAG